RNAcentral lists this ribosomal RNA (492 nucleotides) under uncultured bacterium. Its description in RNAcentral is "partial 16S ribosomal RNA". It matches the Rfam family "Bacterial small subunit ribosomal RNA", at positions 29 to 507 of the family's 1533-position model. The record is from RNAcentral.
AGUGAACGCUGGCGGUAGGCCUAACACAUGCAAGUCGAACGGCAGCACAGUAAGAGCUUGCUCUUACGGGUGGCGAGUGGCGGACGGGUGAGGAAUACAUCGGAAUCUACUUUUUCGUGGGGGAUAACGUAGGGAAACUUACGCUAAUACCGCAUACGACCUACGGGUGAAAGCAGGGGAUCUUCGGACCUUGCGCGAUUGAAUGAGCCGAUGUCGGAUUAGCUAGUUGGCGGGGUAAAGGCCCACCAAGGCGACGAUCCGUAGCUGGUCUGAGAGGAUGAUCAGCCACACUGGAACUGAGACACGGUCCAGACUCCUACGGGAGGCAGCAGUGGGGAAUAUUGGACAAUGGGCGCAAGCCUGAUCCAGCCAUACCGCGUGGGUGAAGAAGGCCUUCGGGUUGUAAAGCCCUUUUGUUGGGAAAGAAAAGCAGCAGGGUAAUACCCCGCUGUUCUGACGGUACCCAAAGAAUAAGCACGGGCUAACUUCGUG